GUCCCGUUCGUCUAGAGGCCCAGGACACCGCCCUUUCACGGCGGCAACACGGGUUCGAAUCCCGUACGGGACGCCA
This 76-nucleotide transfer RNA is filed under the name Alphaproteobacteria bacterium. RNAcentral's name for it is "tRNA-Glu". It matches the Rfam family "tRNA". From Rfam's summary of the family: Transfer RNA (tRNA) molecules are approximately 80 nucleotides in length. Their secondary structure includes four short double-helical elements and three loops (D, anti-codon, and T loops). Lineage: Bacteria; Pseudomonadati; Pseudomonadota; Alphaproteobacteria. The record is from RNAcentral.